Non-coding RNA from Pelobates cultripes (western spadefoot toad), 224 nucleotides. NCBI's taxonomy places the organism in Eukaryota, Metazoa, Chordata, Amphibia, Anura, Pelobatidae. The record is from the annotation of a GenBank genome assembly.
AUGAGUUUGGAGGAGAAAAUAGGACUGGUGUUAGGAUAGAAAGUAGGGCAUUUAGACAUGAAUAGUGGCAGAGGUCCAGAAAUUUUAUGUUGUGGGUCACCGCAAUGGAUAUCAUUGAAUGGAUAUGUCUGGAGGAAGAUACAUCGAGGGAUUUGAGUUAGGGAGAUAUCUUAAGGGAACAUUCAUAUAUAGUGAGUUAUAUGAAUUUUGUUCUUGCACCCAGG